UACGAAGGGGGCUAGCGUUGUUCGGAAUUACUGGGCGUAAAGGGCGCGUAGGCGGCUUCGAUAGUCGGGUGUGAAAUGCCUGGGCUCAACCCAGGAACUGCACUCGAAACUCCGAGGCUAGAGUGUGGGAGAGGAUAGUGGAAUUCCCAGUGUAGAGGUGAAAUUCGUAGAUAUUGGGAAGAACACCGGUGGCGAAGGCGGCAUCCUGGACCGGCAUUGACGCUGAGGCGCGAAAGCCAGGGGAGCAAACGGG
This 253-nucleotide ribosomal RNA is filed under the name uncultured bacterium. RNAcentral describes it as "partial 16S ribosomal RNA". It matches the Rfam family "Bacterial small subunit ribosomal RNA", at positions 524 to 776 of the family's 1533-position model. The record is from RNAcentral.